Non-coding RNA from Pelodiscus sinensis (Chinese soft-shelled turtle), 898 nucleotides. The record is from RefSeq and is a predicted model, not a curated record. Lineage: Eukaryota; Metazoa; Chordata; Testudines; Trionychidae.
UGGUAGUAACUGCGGAUAACACCGCUUGUCCAACUGCCAUAUAGGAUGCUAUGGAGGUGGAAAGAGCAUAGUGUUGCGCAAACGAGUGGUCAGAUGACCAGGUAGCAGCGUUGCAAAUGUCCUGCAGUGGAACGUUAUGAAGGAAGGCAGUCGUGGAAGCUACCGCCCUGGUGGAAUGAGCUGUGAUAGUUCCAGGUAAGUCCUUGCCCUAUAGGGUGUAACAAGUUUUAAUGCAGGAUGUAAUCCAUCUAGAAAUUCUUUGAGAUGAGACUGCUCGUCCCUUAGAUCUUGCAGCGUAAGAGAUAAAAAGUCUAGGUGAGGCUUGCCACGGCUUUGUGCGAUCUACGUAGAACACCAGAGCUCGUCAGACAUCAAGAGUGUGACAUGCAGUCUGGAUUGGGUCCACGUGCGGCUUCGGAAAGAAGGCAGGCAGUCUCGGCAUCCUGGAGCCAUGAAGGAGCCAGGCAUGGAGAUUGAGCUUGAGAACAUUUGGAUGAAGGGUCCGACCAUGGUUCUGCGAGAGGAGGUUGUGGUGGGAAGGAAAGGGAUCCGGAUCCGUCACCGUCAUCUUGAGGAGAGAAAGUAAGGAGAACAGAAGGCUCUCCAUCUGCUGCCGAGGACGGUAGAGAAGGAACUGAGGAGCUGUACACGCAGGCGCCCUUCAAUUCCAACGACACUAGAGGGCUCCACGGCGCCUGCGUGGCGUGGCAGAAAUGGCUUGAAAAGUCUCCGGUCGCCGGCGCGAGGAUGCACCAGCACCCAGAGUGGAGCACCCACGGGGACCACUCGAAGGAGAAGUUAUAAAUAUGUGCUCUGUGUUGAUGCUGAAAGAUUCUCUGUCUGAGGCAGGGCAAUGGGCCAGGAAUGUUUGCCCAUGGACAUGCUGUCACGUUAUUGG